Molecule: ribosomal RNA, 175 nt
Filed under: Escherichia coli O55:H7 str. USDA 5905
Lineage: Bacteria; Pseudomonadati; Pseudomonadota; Gammaproteobacteria; Enterobacterales; Enterobacteriaceae
Description: partial 23S ribosomal RNA
Rfam family: Bacterial large subunit ribosomal RNA
Source: RNAcentral
GAAGAGAUAAGUGCUGAAAGCAUCUAAGCACGAAACUUGCCCCGAGAUGAGUUCUCCCUGACUCCUUGAGAGUCCUGAAGGAACGUUGAAGACGACGACGUUGAUAGGCCGGGUGUGUAAGCGCAGCGAUGCGUUGAGCUAACCGGUACUAAUGAACCGUGAGGCUUAACCUUAC